This 292-nucleotide ribosomal RNA is filed under the name Nicotiana attenuata. RNAcentral's name for it is "rRNA LSU_rRNA_eukarya". It matches the Rfam family "Bacterial large subunit ribosomal RNA", at positions 1710 to 2011 of the family's 2925-position model. Lineage: Eukaryota; Viridiplantae; Streptophyta; Magnoliopsida; Solanales; Solanaceae. The record is from RNAcentral.
GAACUCGGCAAAAUGACCCUGUAACUUUGGGAGCAGGGGUGUUCUCCUAUCUUUUGAUUAGAAAAGCGUCACAUACCAGGGGGUAGCGACUGUUUAUUAAAAACACAUGACUCUGCUAAGUGGUAACACGAUGUAUAGAGUCUGACACCUGCCCUGUGCCGGAAGGUCGAAAGGAGAAGUGUUAUAAGCUUUGAAUGAAAGCCCCGGUAAACGGCGGCAGUAACUCUAACUAUCCUAAGGUAGCGAAAUUCCUUGUCGACACCUUCAUCAGCAUAGAUCGAAAACAUAAUAU